Molecule: non-coding RNA, 545 nt
Filed under: Pongo abelii (Sumatran orangutan)
Lineage: Eukaryota; Metazoa; Chordata; Mammalia; Primates; Hominidae
Source: RNAcentral
UCAUGCUCUGCAUGGUUGGUUGAAUGAAUGAACUAAUUAUCCAUCUGGGUGAAAAUUGAGACAAUAUGCAUGGCCAAGCACUUGGACAAAUUUCAGGUGGAACUGAGACUUAAAAGGAAAAAAUGGAAAAUGCAUGAAGACAGUGAGGAUGAAGACCUUUAUGAUGAUCCAUUUCCACUUAAUGAAUAGCAUCAACCAUGAGCUGGUUGAAGAGGCAUUUGGGGGUAGCGAGGAGCAGAGAGAGAACUUUCCAAUCACACUAUCUGCAUUUUUGAAAGGCUGACACGGCUCUUGGUUCUCAAAUCAGCCUCAAAAUAGCCUGAAAAGCCUGGAGUCCACUCACAGAAGAGCAGACCUCCUCCGGUGUGCACCAUGCUGAUGGCACCACCUUACACACUCAGGCGUGGUGCAAAAACCCCCACGGGGGACACCUCACACCUUAUGUGGAUCAAAUGCUCCUUCCCUGAUCCUCUGUGGGGAACUUCCUUUUCUCUAAUCCUAGAUCUUUUCAAAAAUUCUAACCAAAAUAAAAUUUAAAAAGAAGA